Molecule: long non-coding RNA, 638 nt
Filed under: Canis lupus familiaris (dog)
Lineage: Eukaryota; Metazoa; Chordata; Mammalia; Carnivora; Canidae
Description: lncRNA (ENSCAFG00845027503.1)
Source: RNAcentral
GCCUGGAGUGGGCGGGGCCUGGGGGCCGGGCCGGGGCGCCCGAUGGGGGCGUGCACUCUCCGCGGGGACACGCGCUCUGGGCCGCGGCAACUCGCUCCAAGUUCCCUCCCUCGCGCUCCGCGAAGCCCGCCCGAGCCCGCCCGAGCCCUCCCCUCCCCUCCUCUCCCCUCGGCGCGGACCUAGCCCUCCGCGGCCUCGCGCCCCGCGCCCCCGGCCCGCCGGCUCGGCUCCCCCCGGCCCCGCGGGGCGGCGCGAGGACUCGGCGGCGGCCCCCUCCCCGCGGGCCCGGGAGCCGACGCCGGCUGGGGCCGCACCUCCGGGACCGGGCAGCGCGGCCGAGCUCUGCCUGCAGCCGAACACAAAGACCUGGAGGAGACUCCCACAUCCUUCGGGGAGAAGAAAGGAGGCAGCGGCGCCGGUUCCGGGAGCUCGUGGCUCGUGGCCUUCGGGAGGGGGGAAGUGGAUCGCGGCGUUGGCGGCGGCGUUGGCGGCGGCGGGCGAGCCGUGAGAUGCGGCGGCGCCGCGGCGGCGCCUGCUGACACCCCGGUCCCCGGCGCCGGCCGCUGCCCUUUGUGCUUCGCGUACAUGUGUCAGCUCGGCGCAUCCGGAGGCGCGCGCACCGGAAUCCAACACGGCCG